Molecule: ribosomal RNA, 500 nt
Filed under: uncultured Serratia sp.
Lineage: Bacteria; Pseudomonadati; Pseudomonadota; Gammaproteobacteria; Enterobacterales; Yersiniaceae
Description: bacterial SSU rRNA
Rfam family: Bacterial small subunit ribosomal RNA
Source: RNAcentral
CGCCCUUAGAGUUUGAUCAUGGCUCAGAUUGAACGCUGGCGGCAGGCUUAACACAUGCAAGUCGAGCGGUAGGGGAGCUUGCUCCCUACGAGCGGCGGACGGGUGAGUAAUGUCUGGGAAACUGCCUGAUGGAGGGGGAUAACUACUGGAAACGGUAGCUAAUACCGCAUAACGUCGCAAGACCAAAGAGGUUCGUCUUGCCAUCAGAUGUGCCCAGAUGGGAUUAGCUAGUAGGUGGGGUAAUGGCUCACCUAGGCGACGAUCCCUAGCUGGUCUGAGAGGAUGACCAGCCACACUGGAACUGAGACACGGUCCAGACUCCUACGGGAGGCAGCAGUGGGGAAUAUUGCACAAUGGGCGCAAGCCUGAUGCAGCCAUGCCGCGUGUGUGAAGAAGGCCUUCGGGUUGUAAAGCACUUUCAGCGAGGAGGAAGGUGGUGAGUAAUCUCAUCAAUUGACGUUACUCGCAGAAGAAGCACCGGCUAACUUCGUGCCAGCAGC